RNAcentral lists this long non-coding RNA (2973 nucleotides) under Ananas comosus (pineapple). Its description in RNAcentral is "long non-coding RNA (ACOM_LNC041706)". The record is from RNAcentral. Lineage: Eukaryota; Viridiplantae; Streptophyta; Magnoliopsida; Poales; Bromeliaceae.
AAUUAAUAUUUUUAUUAAAUUUAAUGGCUCUAUCAACUAUUAGGACUUAUUUGGUUCAAAAAUGGAAUUGAAAUAAAUAAUAGAAUGAGAAUGAAUUAGAAUGACAAUUGGAUUGCUCUACUUCCUCAAGACGUUUGGUUCAUUUCUAGAUUGAAAAUCAGAAUGAAUUAUUUCUAUUUCACUGUUUGAUUGAUACAAAGUAAAAAAAUAAUAGAAUAGCAUAAUACUAAUUUUACUUUUAAAUAUAAUUUUAUAAAACUAUCUAAAAUUUUUUUAAAAAAAAUAAUACUACUCUCAUGUUAGAGCUAUGCCAAAAAAAAGAAAUUUAUUUUAAAAUUUUUUAUGCAAAAAAUUACAAAAAAAUGCAUAAAUUUUUUUGAAUAAAAUUGUAAUAAAAAAUAAUAUAUCAUGUUUUUUUUAAUGAUCAUAAAAAGGGAAGAGAUUGGUAUACGGAGAGAAAGAAUGGAUAAGAUGGAGAAACGUUGGGCUGGGCCUGAGGAAGAGGUGAGUGUGGGCUUGGAAUUGAAACUUCAACCCGGGCUCGGAGACCGGAAUCAAUUUGUAAGUUAAUGGACCAUUCCCAUUCCGAUCCAGAAUGAAAAUCUCAAACCGAUUCCUGUGAAUCAAACAAAAUUAGUUAAUCAAACCGAUUUCCAUUCCAGAUCCAAAAUGUACGAACCAAACAUGCCCUUAGAGUUUUAUUCACUGGUAGUACAAAUAGUACAAGAACCAAUCAUGGAGCCAUUAAAACAGAAGUUAAAAAGUUAAAUUUAAGGAGUGGUUUCAAAAUAUUUUAUAGUAGAGGGUUCUCCCUACACUUUUACCUAUUUACUUUUUCUACAUUGCAUUUCAUGUUUGAUCUACUUCUAAGUAUUUAAUUUGACCUACUUCUAAGUAUUUAAAUUGAAAACAUUGGUUCCAUUUCGAACCACACGAGAUCGUAUUACGUACAAUGAGAAAGCCUUGAAGAAAAAAAAAUAUUUAUUUAUUUUUGUAAAUAAUAUCACGUUAUACAUAUUAUAAUGAGUCGAUAUAUUUUUAUAUGAUUUUAUCAAAAAAAUUCCAAGAAACUGUAGAAAAUAUCUCGUAACUGAUUUAUUGCAAUAUAAAGGAUAUUACAGAUUUUAAAACAUGAUAUUUUUUCACUCACCGUAUGUAACAAACUAUUAUUAUUUUUCUAUUGUACUUAACUAACCAUAGUUAUCUAAAUAAUCCAAACAAACCGACCGUUUCUAGAGUGAGUGGCAAAAGGAAUGGUGGUUGGUACACGAGGUCCCAAGUUCGAAUCUUAGUUGAUUCGCAUUUCCAACUAAGUUUAUUUCUAAAUGAAAUAAACGAAGCGGGUAGCGUGCUACCCAUCUCUCAAAAAAAGAAAUAAUCCAAACAAACUUACAAAACAUGAAGACGAAAGCUUCGUUUGGGAUUGCAGGGAGAUUGCGUUAUGUGCAGUGAGAAACGACAAUGGAAAAUACCCUGUUUGUUUUCAUACGUAAUAUUGCGUUCCGCAUAUCGUGAUGAGUCGAUUACGAUAUAUUUUCUGCGGUCCCAUCGGAGAACGCAGAAGCAUAUCUAGGGGUGGAAACGAGCCGAGCUCGAGCGAGCUUACCUCGGCUCAAACCGAGCUCGAGCCCUAAACGAGCCGCUUGAAAUUCUCAACAUCAUACGAUCAAUAGUUUAAUUUGUAUAGAACAUUAUCUAUAAUUUGAUACAAAAAUAUGUCUAAUAGUUCAAAGUACAAAAUAAUUAUAUAAAAUAUAGUAUUAUAAUAUGAAAAAAAUAAUUUAUGAGUUGAAUAUCUAAUCUUUUCAGUCUCACAUGUCUUUUCUUCCGCCUUCAAUCUCCAUAUUAUUCAUUUUCAUUUAUGCAGUCAAAAAUAAAUAAAUUAUAUAGAUAAAUAUUGGAUUAAACUCUCCAAUCAUAUAGAACAAAAAUUAAAAUUUUAUAUGAAUAAUAAUUUUUUACUUUAAAUAUUCUGUAUAUUUUCUCAAGCUUACAAUUAAUAGCAAGGUAGGCAACGGCAGACAUAUACUGUUUGUUACUUGGUAAUUUUGAGGGCUUUCGGCUUGGCUGCUUAGGGUGAGAGACAGAAAAAGAGAAAGAGAGAAAUAUAUUGAAAAUUUAGAGUUCUGUGAAAGAAAGAAAGAAAGAAAGGAAAUAUAUAUAAAUUUAGUGAAAUUUUGCUAUUUUAUUUGUCUAUUGGCUUUGUUUUUAUGGGCCAACAACAUUGGCCAAAUUUUAACUAAACUCAGAUUAUUCACUCAGCCUAUAUAUAAUUAAAAUAUAUUAUAUUUAUAUAUUUUUUAAUAUAUAUAUAUAUAUAUAUAUAGUGUAGAACUACUAUGCUAUCGAAAAUAUAGAGGAUUUGAUGUUUUCNUAAUAGGAUAGCAUAAUACUAAUUUUACUUUUAAAUAUAAUUUUAUAAAACUAUCUAAAAUUUAUAAAAAAAAAUAAUAAUAAUACUACUCUCAUGUUAGAGCUAUGCCAAAAAAAAGGAAUUUAUUUUAAAAUUUUUUAUGCAAAAAAUUACAAAAAAAUGCAUAAAUUUUUUUGAAUAAAAUUGUAAUAAAAAAUAAUAUAUCAUGUUUUUUUUAAUGAUCAUAAAAGAGGGAAGAGAUUGGUAUACGGAGAGAAAGAAUGGAUAAGAUGGAGAAACGUUGGGCUGGGCCUGAGGAAGAGGUGAGUGUGGGCUUGGAAUUGAAACUUCAACCCGGGCUCGGAGACCGGAAUCAAUUUGUAAGUUAAUGGACCAUUCCCAUUCCGAUCCAGAAUGAAAAUCUCAAACCGAUUCCUGUGAACCAAACAAAAUUAGUAGCAUUUAAUCAAAUCGAUUUUCAUUCUAGAUCCAAAAUGUACGAACCAAACAUGCCCUUAGAGUUUUAUUCACUGGUAGUACAAAUAGUACAAGAACCAAUCAUGGAGCCAUUAAAACAGAAGUUAAAAAGUUAAAUUUAAGGAGUGGUUUCAAAAUAUUUU